GAACGCUGGCGGCAUGCUUUACACAUGCAAGUCCGGACGGCAGCACAGAGAAGCUUGCUUCUUGGGUGGCGAGUGGCGAACGGGUGAGUAACAUAUCGGAACGUACCGAGCAGUGGGGGAUAACUAAUCGAAAGAUUAGCUAAUACCGCAUAUUUUCUGAGGAAGAAAGCAGGGGACCAUUUGGCCUUGCGCUGUUUGAGCGGCCGAUAUCUGAUUAGCUAGUUGGUGGGGUAAAGGCCUACCAAGGCGACGAUCAGUAGCGGGUCUGAGAGGAUGAUCCGCCACACUGGGACUGAGACACGGCCCAGACUCCUACGGGAGGCAGCAGUGGGGAAUUUUGGACAAUGGGCGCAAGCCUGAUCCAGCCAUGCCGCGUGUCUGAAGAAGGCCUUCGGGUUGUAAAGGACUUUUGUCAGGGAAGAAAAGGGCGGGGUUAAUACCCCUGUCUGAUGACGGUACCUGAAGAAUAAGCACCGGCUAACUACGUGCCAGCAGCCGCGGUAAUACGUAGGGUGCGAGCGUUAAUCGGAAUUACUGGGCGUAAAGCGGGCGCAGACGGUUACUUAAGCAGGAUGUGAAAUCCCCGGGCUCAACCUGGGAACUGCGUUCUGAACUGGGUGACUAGAGUGUGUCAGAGGGAGGUAGAAUUCCACGUGUAGCAGUGAAAUGCGUAGAGAUGUGGAGGAAUACCGAGGGAAGGCAGGCUUCCAUUUACC
Molecule: ribosomal RNA, 716 nt
Filed under: uncultured bacterium
Lineage: Bacteria
Description: bacterial SSU rRNA
Rfam family: Bacterial small subunit ribosomal RNA
Source: RNAcentral